GCCAUAUCAAUAAGCGGAGGAAAAGAAACCAACAGGGAUUGCCUCAGUAACGGCGAGUGAAGCGGCAAAAGCUCAAAUUUGAAAUCUAGCACUUUCAGUGUUCGAGUUGUAAUUUGAAGAAGGUAACUUUGGUUUUGGCUCUUGUCUAUGUUCCUUGGAACAGGACGUCACAGAGGGUGAGAAUCCCGUGCGAUGAGAUGCCCAAUUCCAUGUAAAGUGCUUUCGAAGAGUCGAGUUGUUUGGGAAUAA
RNAcentral lists this ribosomal RNA (249 nucleotides) under Dujonia zeylanoides. RNAcentral describes it as "[Candida] zeylanoides partial 26S ribosomal RNA". It matches the Rfam family "Eukaryotic large subunit ribosomal RNA", at positions 37 to 283 of the family's 3401-position model. The record is from RNAcentral. Lineage: Eukaryota; Fungi; Ascomycota; Pichiomycetes; Serinales; Debaryomycetaceae.